GGGUGGUAAUGCCGGAUGCUCCGGUUGGAUGCAUGUCCUUCCGGGAAAGGUUCCAUCGGUAUGGGAUGGGGUCGCGUCCUAUCAGCUUGAUGGCGGGGUAACGGCCCACCAUGGCUUCGACGGGUAGCCGGCCUGAGAGGGCGACCGGCCACAUUGGGACUGAGAUACGGCCCAGACUCCUACGGGAGGCAGCAGUGGGGAAUAUUGCACAAUGGGCGCAAGCCUGAUGCAGCGACGCCGCGUGCGGGAUGGAGGCCUUCGGGUUGUAAACCGCUUUUGAUCGGGAGCAAGCCCUUCGGGGUGAGUGUACCUUUCGAAUAAGCACCGGCUAACUACGUGCCAGCAGCCGCGGUAAUACGUAGGGUGCAAGCGUUAUCCGGAAUUAUUGGGCGUAAAGGGCUCGUAGGCGGUUCGUCGCGUCCGGUGUGAAAGCCCAUCGCUUAACGGUGGGUCUGCGCCGGGUACGGGCGGGCUGGAGUGCGGUAGGGGAGACUGGAAUUCCCGGUGUAACGGUGGAAUGUGUAGAUAUCGGAAAA
RNAcentral lists this ribosomal RNA (536 nucleotides) under Bifidobacterium dentium. RNAcentral's name for it is "bacterial SSU rRNA". It matches the Rfam family "Bacterial small subunit ribosomal RNA", at positions 158 to 704 of the family's 1533-position model. The record is from RNAcentral. Lineage: Bacteria; Bacillati; Actinomycetota; Actinomycetes; Bifidobacteriales; Bifidobacteriaceae.